GGAUGUGAGGGCGAUCUGGCUGCGACAUCUUUCACCUCAUUGGUCGCCAGGGUUGAUUCGGCUGAUCUGGAAGGCCAGGCGGGUGGCCCCUUGUCCCUCACCACUCCAUGUGUGUCCUUCCCAAAGCUGUCUGCUCGGUCUGAAGAGGACAACCUUCCCCGAGAGAAGAGGGCCGUUCUUCUGUAUAGGAGGAUAUAGGAGUAGCAACGUUCCCCUUUUAGAACCUCCAAACAAGCUCUCUGGGUCUGUUUGUAGGAAAACAUAGGGUAGUCAAGCUUCCACAUGAGGAACCGCAUUGAGCACUCUGACUGGCU
Molecule: small nuclear RNA, 314 nt
Filed under: Neogale vison (American mink)
Lineage: Eukaryota; Metazoa; Chordata; Mammalia; Carnivora; Mustelidae
Description: Neovison vison (American mink) 7SK RNA (ENSNVIG00000005298.1)
Rfam family: 7SK RNA
About the family: 7SK was discovered as an abundant small nuclear RNA in the mid-70s but a possible function has only recently been suggested.
Source: Rfam by way of RNAcentral